RNAcentral lists this ribosomal RNA (463 nucleotides) under uncultured bacterium. RNAcentral's name for it is "partial 16S ribosomal RNA". It matches the Rfam family "Bacterial small subunit ribosomal RNA", at positions 28 to 507 of the family's 1533-position model. The record is from RNAcentral.
GAUGAACGCUGACAGAAUGCUUAACACAUGCAAGUCGAUGGGGAAGUGGUGCUUGCACCAUGGUAACCAUGGCGGACGGGUGAGUAACGCGUAAGGAACUUGCCUGCGGGACUGGGAUAACAGCUGGAAACUGCUGAUAAUACCGGAUAAGGUCAUUAAGCUGCAUAGCUUAGUGAUGAAAGGAGACGCCUGCGGAGAGCCUUGCGUCCUAUUAGCUAGUUGGAGGGGUAACGGCCCACCAAGGCGAAGAUAGGUAGCCGGCCUGAGAGGGUGGACGGCCACAAGGGGACUGAGAUACGGCCCUUACUCCUACGGGAGGCAGCAGUGGGGAAUAUUGGACAAUGGGGGCAACCCUGAUCCAGCAAUUCUGUGUGCACGAAGACGGUUUUCGGAUUGUAAAGUGCUUUCAGCAGGGAAGAAGGAAGUGACGGUACCUGCAGAAGAAGCGACGGCUAAAUACGUG